GCGCGCGCACGGGGCGGAGCCGCGCCAGGGCUCGGGGUGGUGCACGUGGCUCAGUGGCGACCCGGCUUGCUCCGUCCCAGGCGGGUGUCUCAGCUGUGUGCUGUCCUCUCCCCGGCCCACGGCCGCGAGGACGGAGCUGGGCCUCUCGCCUUGCUCCCCUUGUCGAACCGCCUGCUCUGGGCGCUCCGGGGGUCUUAGGAGCCUCCAUUCUUUCAUUCAUUCAUUCGCUCGAGGUUGAUCAUAUGAAGGGCCCAGCCCUGGGCUGGGUGCUAAAGAUGUAGUGACGGGCAAAGGGGAAAGGCCCCUUACAGACCAGCGUUCAAGGCGGUAACAGGUACAGGGGCGUCGCAUUCAGGCUCAUUUACUUAUUACUGCUGUUUUUCGUUUGCACUUGAAAUAUCUUGCAUCCAUACUUUUUACGUACUCUGUGCCCUUUUGGCAUACUUUAUACCCAAGAGUUCCUGUACAUCAUUGCCUCGAGUGUAGACACCAAAUCCUGUGAUUUAUGGGCUAUCUAUCCAGGGUGAUCUGGACCCUAAGUCAAUUGCUGUCCCGCUUGUGGAAUUAAAACCACACACAGACACAACACAAACACAAGCGCGCGUAUUUACAAACGUGAACGUAAAAAUACAGCGCGCGAGAGAAUUGAGAGAUUGAGGCUGAGAUUCGCGGUGAUGGUUGGAAGAAGGGCGCAUCCUAGCCUGGGUUCGGGAAAGCAGAAAUCUGGAGGAUGAACGCGGCCAGGGGAUCUGUCGGGGUCAAAUCCAAAGCAAGGCACUGACUCUGGAGCCCGACAGAGGCCGGCCAGGAUGUGCCAGGCUCCUGGCGCUCUGCCCACUGCUUCGCGAAGUUGAAGCUGCCGUGUUCAGCCAGGCUGUAGCGUGCGGCAGGUGGGACUCAGCGCGGACCUGGCGAUAUGGACGGGCGCGGAAGGGGUUCCCGGGGCUGCCCCUCAUCUUCCUAGUGGGGUUGGAAUCCGGGUUCACCGAGGGCAGGUUCUCCGCCCUGCUAGGGUAUGCUCUACCCAAGCCCGUCCUGGAAUCCCCAACAGCCACGCCUGUCUGCUUCUCCAUCUCCUUUGUUUCUUCCAGACUUGAUAGGAAACCCAUCUCCGACUCCCGCCUUCAUUCUGAGCCCUACCGGGUCACUGGGUGGGCAGGAGAAAGGAAAGGGGGCGGGGGGGGGCAGCCGCUGAAGAGGCAGCAGUUUUACUUUAAAUGAAAAUCACACGAAAAUAUUUUUCCAACUCCUGGCUUUUUUGAGACAUCACCAGAAAGCACUGCCAGCUGUGAUUACGUCUAAUGUGAGAGCAUGAACUAAUUUAAGAGGUGAGAGCUGAAUAAUGAACCUACAUCCAGUGGAGCAGCCAAGAGUAGCAGCUCUCCCCGUGGAAGGCACCGGGAAAAACACCCCUGUAGAACUAACCUCAUACCCUUCCACAAAUGUUUACCAAGUGCCAGCCUUGUCUGCCCGGUUGCAACCAAGAACAAACCUGGAACCUGUUUGCUCGGAGCACACAGCAGGGUUGAGAUCACCUCCAGGGAUGUGGUUGCCUCCUGGUCUCUCAUUGUGGUAAGGUGAUGCCCAGCCCUGAACUGCCUUCUAUAUGCCAGUGACCCUCCAUUUUGUAUCUCCCAUCUGAGCCUUUUUCUGAGCCAGACCUGUCAUCCUAUGGGCCUAUUGGACCUUUUUGCUUAUGUAUCUUUAAGGUACAAUUAACCUUCCAGAUCCUUCUUUUCCUAUCCCAGUGACAAUGACUGUGGCCACCUAGAUAUGCAGUCUAAGGACCCCCACACCUAACCUGAUUGUAUAUGUCCUGUUGUUUAAGCCAUUCUCCUUAGACUGUUAGGGGCUCAUUAUCUCCACCUGGGCAACUUACAGCAUCUUCCUAAUGUAUCAUUCAGGGAUUAGUGAAGGAUCGCCUGAUACUGUUUAUUCUUUCACUUGAUGAAUAGCCAUCAAAGCCCUGAAAUAUGUAACCUCCACUUUUCUCCCAUGUAAGUGAGAUUUCAAAUGUCGUAUUACCUCCGAUUCUCCCAUCCCUUUUUCAUGUAGUAUAUAUUCAAAAAAUAAUGAAAAACAAUUUAGUGUUAAUAGUCCCAAAUUGUGAGGACUAAAGGAGAUUAUGUACAUGAAAAGGAAAAUCCAUUAGAGACUUCAAAAGCAGUCAUGUUUAUUUUUAGGCUUAUUAUGUUUUGGAGUCAGAAUCCUUUUAGCUGCAAGUGACAACACCAAUUCAAACUGGCUUAAGGAUUUCAUUUGGUUGAUGCAUAAAGCCUUGGAUAGAUCUUGCCAUUUAAGGCAUGAUUGGCCCUGUCAGUCAAGGUUACCAGGAUCUCUUUCCAGUAUUGGCAUCAUUUUCAGACAACCUGUUUCCAUAUAUGAGGCCCUUAGAGGUAUUACUAAGUCCUAGCAAGAAAAAAAAAGCAGUAUUUUUAGUCAAUAUUUGUAGCUGGAGUCCCAGAACCAUUCUUACAAGGGCAGCUGCAGUCACUUACCCUCUCUGGAGGUAGAGAAUGGACAGUUUGGUUGACUAAUCUUGGGCCUGGUCGCCAUCCCCUGCAAAGGGGUUUGUUGUGAGCUGCACAUAUUCUGGAAUAGAGGGACUCUCUAAAGAAAAUUAGAGAAGGGAUGCAGGACAGGCAGAAACCAUGAUGUCUACCUUAGCCCUUCUUACAGGUUUAACUGCAGUACAUUCCACACAGUAAGAAUGGUGAUGAGGAUGACAGAGGAAUAGAAGCAAUAGAUAUGUGUGUGGCUGUGAUCUUCAAGACCUCAGCUAAAUAGGAAGUCAGGUCUAUCAACCAUGAUGUUAUCUGAGGUUCUCUUUGAAGUCUAGAUGCACCUGAUACGGUAGGACUACAUGAAUCUAAAUCAACGGUCAUAACAUUUUAUUCUAAAAAUUUUUUUGCCAGUGUUCUGUUGGAAUUUUUUUUCUUUUCUUUUCUUUUCUUUUGUACCAAGCAUCAAACUCAGGACCUUGCACUUGCCAGGCAGGCGCAGGUGCCACUGAGCUAAAUCCUCAGCUCCUAAUUUUUAUCUUUUUAUUUUUUAGGUUCUCAGGAAGGUGAAGGUAAAAUUUUCAGUUCUUUCUGGACAUAUACCUAAAAUUCCUUAUUAUUCAUCAACUGAUGAAAAUUUGAGAGAGUCUAAAGAGUAAAAAGUAGUUUCAGAAAUGUACUGACUGUAGAAUUUAACUUUCUAAGGCUUUUCAGGUGUUGAAAUACUGGUAAAGUAUUAAAAAGCCACUUCUCUGAAGCUUUUAAAAUAACAAAGAUUUAGGAAACUGCAAGAUUACAAAUAAUGAAUUUAUACCACUACUAUUAUAUCUUUUACUUUUGGCUUUAAAUAUGGUAUCACAUUGUGGUGCAGUCAAAGGUUUAUUUCCUCUCCUGUGCUCUGAAUUUCCCACCACAGUGCAGUCUAAGAAAUGAAUGUAGCCGCAGCCUCCACCGAUGCUGUAUUCAUGGUUGCCCCGCUCCCCUCCUACUCCAUACCCUGGGAAAAAACGGCAACCUCCAUGGGAAUGAGCGCAUUUUCAGGAAAAGGGGGGUAUUUUCUUAAAGAAUGUGAAACAAACUCAUCCUUUUAUUAAAUCAAAAUGGAUUCGCUAAUGUUUAUACACAUCAAAUGGAGUUUUAUCUCUUUCCUCUUGUUCAAAGGCCCAGACAGUGCCAUUCCCUAGGGCUUGGUUCAUUUGCUCCUAAAGCAGAAGAGACAGUCCACUUUGUUCUGAAGAUUGUUAAUUUUAGGAUAUCAAGGGUCAAAGUCAUUUCAGGCUAAUUCCUAAAGUUAUACUAUAAAAUACAGGAAUGAUUCUAAGUUGUACAAAGUAUGAAAUACUGUAAUAUUUUAACUUUGACCAAAACCUUUACCUUCCUGGGUGUGUCUUUUUUGCCUAUUCAGAUUCAUAUUAAAUGCAACAUUUUUGCUGUUUAAAUUUUAAAAGUUAUGUUUAAAAAUUAACCUUAUAAUUGAACAUUUUUACUAAUACAGGAAAAAGACAGGAUUACUUUUUAAUGAAGGCCAGGUUUGUGGUAACAUUUUUAUUCUUUUAAAAAAAUUUUUCUUUUGAUCUUAAAAAAUAAAAGAACACAUUUAAAAUGCCUUUAGUUCUUACGUUAAUACCAAAUUAUGUAUUUUUUUAGUCUGUUUCAGAAGGAGAUACCGCCUUCUCAGUUAAAAGAUGCUGACACUAUUUUCAAAACAAUGCCUUGAAUCUGCUGUGGUGUGGGCAGGUAGGAAUUUUGUAUGAAGCUAUUAUUCAAGUAGAAGGAACUAAGGUCAAAGGCCAAAAAAAAACAUUUAAAAGUGUAUGUCUACAGAACUGCACCUGAGAGAAAACUAGAUAAUGUCACAAACUCGUUGGAAUUUUUCCAUGAAUUAUCUGUGUGCUGUUUAGGAUGGUUGGCUAUAGGGCCAAACCAAGGUUUAGUGAAUUCACCAAACAUUUAUGGGGUGCCAAAGUAUGCAAGACCUCAAACAUCAUGGUUAGAGGUAGCAAGCCAUGCAUAUUUGAAGAACCUCCACUUACACCUCUUCCUUUUGGUUCUACUCAGAAAGCCUCCUGAAAGUGUUAUCUUUGAUUAUUCUUUGUAUUUGUGUACCUUUAUCUUAUCAGAAGAUAGACAACAUUUAUACAUAUAAAAUUAAUAAAUUACCAAACAUUCGAACAAAUAGUUCAGUACAUAAUUCAAAUACAUUUGACAUUUAUCAAAGAAAUGCUGGGUGUUAUCAUCUAGGCAGAUAGCUGGAUUAACAUUUGGGGAAAGUUAUCACCCAUUUUUGAUAGGAAUCUCAGGGAAAUGUCCUGCAUCUCAUAGUCAUUGACGAUUGUAUGAAGACUUCCUACAGUUCGGAAAUCUCUUAGAAUGGGAUCUUAGAGAAAAGCCUGCCAACUAGAGGAUUUGUUAAACCAUGGACUUUCAAGUCACCAGAAGGACAAUGAAAGAAAAACUUUUAAAUAGAGAUUGAAGAGAGGAAAAUACAGAAAAAUAAGAGGUGGGAUGCACAGAAAAAAAGAGGAAAGCAAAGGAAUAAACUACAAGCAAUUACGCACUUAAAAAAGAAUUUUACAACUGAGAUAUCAAAGGUGGAGAUGCUGGGGAAUUCUUUGACUUUAAAAAACUGGAGUACAAGAUGAGGCCCUGUUUGACAACCAGAUUUCAUGUGACAAUAAGAACAUUCCAGCCAGAUAUAUGCACCUCAAGAUUUAUCUGAGCAAAAUGCUUAAAGGUCAAUAUGAAGAUGGAUGUUCCUCCCAGGCGAAUUUUGAUAAAAUACUUGUGUUGAUUAAAAAAAACACUAAUCCCAAUGCAAGUCAAUCCAGGCAUAUGGGUUUGGGUCGCUGCCCUUCCUGGCAGCAGCCUGCUCCAGGAGGGGUUUCCAAACACCAGCAGCUCCCAGCCAAUCAUCAAUUCUCUUCAUUUAAAUCGUGUGAGUAGGAAAUGUCACAGGAAUGCUGGGUUGGCAGGGAGCUGCCCACUCCUGCUCCGAACUGAGAAGGGAAUGAAACUAAAGGCAAACACAACUUGUAAACAAAUCUGGGAGAAGCUUUAUUACCAUCAUUAGCAGUGUGCAUGUCCUCUGCUGCUUCCAAAAAGAAUAAAAUUAAAACGACAGAAGACUCCAUCCUUCUUACGUUCUUGGCAUAUGGCGGACUGGGUCUCAUCCUGACUGUGGGCAUCUGCUAUGCCUGCCCAGCAUAUAUUGCCACUUGAAACUCCAAUCAUUAGUACUUCUUUAAAAUCUCAUUCAUUGUCUGCUUUCCCCACCGAAAGGUAAGGCCCAAAGCUCAGGCAUUUUUUUUUUUUGCUACCAGGGAUUGAACUCAGGUCCUUGCACUUGCGCAGCAGGCGGUGAAACCACUGAGCUAAAUCCCCGGCCCAGCUCAGGCAUUUUUAUAGCUUUCUUCCCCACUGUAUUUCCAAUGCCUGGAGGUUGAAUUAAUUUCUCUUCUGCUUCAUUCAUUCAUCCAACACAUGAAAAAACUAUAGGGCUCUACUGGGUUCCUGGAUGCUUCAAAACAGACAUUUGAGGGGAUUGGGGGGAAAUACAGCUAAGAAGUACUGAGAGUAAGUUCAAAAGCUGUAAUUGCAUUGGGAGAAAGUGGGCAAGGUAAGAAGAAGGACUGGCUGUGCAGAUGAGAAAGAUUCCAGUUUUAAGUAGGGUGGACAAGGUUGGCCUCACUGAGAAGGUAAGUAUGAGCAUGACAGGGAAAAGGAAUUUCCAGGCACUUGGAACAGCCAGUGCAAAUACCCUAGGGCAGGAAUAUGCCUGUUUUGUCUAAGGAACCGAAAAACAAAUAGUUGCUGGAGUGGAGUGAGUAGACUAUUUGCACCAGUAAAUAAAAAUCGAUGAAUCUGAGGCUUCCAAGGACCCUUUUGCCCCCUCUAUGACCACCACACAGAGGAAGCCCAUAAAAAGAAAACGCUAAGUGAAGAAAAGUACAGGCCCCUGGAUCCAGCCACACCUGAAGCAAUUUCUAACCAACACCUUUUAGGUGCUGGAAGUGACAGGGUCCCUUUCUGGAGCCAUUUGUAACUGAACAAGUCUUGGUAAAGCAUUAAAACUCCUUUGUCUGGGGCUCUUGAGGCACUGCAGCCAGUGUGGUGUCACAAUGAUGUCUGUGGGCAGGUGCUGGGGCUGUGGGAAGUCCAGCCUCGGAGGGCGAGGCCCGGAAUCUCUCUGCGCAGGGGAGGCCUGCGUAGCUGACAAGUGAGAAGGAAACUCUCAAUUUUGCAAUUUUCAAGUGUCAGAAGGAUAUUUUAUCACUACUCUGACGCCCAGCAUCAAAGGCAGAUUCUCCUGGUCUUCCAUCAACACAUCUGCUGUGUGAGGUUGGCCUUUGCACUUGCAUGAUCCAGAACUCACAGCUGAGAAUGAGGACUCCAGGUAUCAGCAAGGCCCGUUCGAAGGACUAGACAGACCCUCCUCCAGUUACCAAAAAUAUCCACACAAAGGUCCAAAAGAUUCUGUCCAAUUCAACAAGUGCCUCCAGCAGCUGCUCUUCAAGACCCUAGAAUGCACAGCUGUCCCCUGAAAAGGCAGGUACAAUAAUCUAGGGGGCAGGUGCCCCUUUCACUCAUCCUAAGCACUAUACUAAAGACACUAGGGUCCAGGGCAGAGCCCCCCACCACCAAGAGGAGAAAGACAUUCACAUAUGAGUACUUCCAUGUGACUACUCACCCAGUUGUUCAUUCAGCAAAUGGAGCAGGAAUUUCCUAUGUGCCCAGGACUGCUGGGGUUCUGACCCAGCAACCAGCAAGAUGGGCAAGAUCCCAGUUCAUGUAGAGCUUUGUCCUAUCAAAAAGAUAAAGGUGAUAAAGUGAAAUUAAUUGUACAAAGGAUAAUUUCUGAAAUUGGUAAGUGCAAGUAGGAAAACACAUCAGAGUAUUUCAAAAGAGAGGCACUGGGGAGGGUAGAGCAAGAUAGAGACAUUGGGGAAGGCUGAACUGAGAUCCAAAUGAGGAAAAGGACCCCCUUGCAGAGUUGAGGGGAAAAUGGGCUCUAGCAGAGGGUGUGGUGGGUCCAAAGGCCCAAGCAAGAACUAGCUCAGCACAACCAAGCACCAGAAUCCAGGCUGUGUGGUUGGAGCUCAGUGAGUAGAGGGGAGAGUGAAGGAAGUUGAGUGCAGUUGGGCCAGCCCGGAGGAUGCAGGGCCCAUCUACCAGCGAGGAUCUGGGAUCAGAUCACCUGUGAGUGAUGCUGACAUACUCCCACUGGGAUAUUUCAAUGUUCUCUCCUUAACCAGCCACUGGGUACAGACAAGAAAUGUGCCAGCAAUGCAAAAAGAUAAGGAGGGCUCUGUUUUUUCUCAAGAUAUGAACAAUGUCCCUUGUAUUUUUUUUAAAGAAGAAGAAAGUUUGCCAACAAGUAUGGUUCCAGACAGAAAAUAAAGAAGAACCACAAUAAAGGAGGGAAUGACUCCAUCCCCAACACCCAGUGGGCAGCAGCACCAAGGAGGGAGCAGUUGGUUCCAAGUAUAGGAUGUGAGGAGGGGAGAACAGGAUGUACAGAGGCAGGGGACAUUGACUACCUGAGAUGGGGGAACAUGUGGCCUUCUGAGAGGCAGUAGCAUGGGAUCAGGUGCAGCAAGUGAGCUGGGGGGAAUGAGGGAAGAGCCUGAGCUGUUGGAAGGCCUGUAUUAAAGGCAUGGUUCCCAGUGCAGUACUGUUGGGCACUGGUGGAACUAUUGAGAGGUGGGGCCUAUUGGGAGGUCCAUGAGUCAUUGGAGGUGUGGCUUCAAGCCAUGAAGUUCUGCCAAAUGUUCCCGCCAUGUAUGAUAGCUGCCUUGCCACAGGUCCAAAGCAGCAGGGCCAAUUACCCAUGGACUGGAACCUCCAAACUGAGUCAAAAUAAAUCUUUUCUCCUUCUAAGUUAGUUAUCUUAGGUAUUUUGUUGUAGUAACAUGAAGCUCACUGGUGCCUGGCCCUAUCAGCUUCUGUCCUCCUGAGAGAUCCUCAGUCUUUAGAAGGGGAGGUCUUCCCGGGUCUCUGGUUAGCAUCUGAGCUGUACCAGCUACUACACUGAAGGGAGGGGAGGUCCCUAGGUUAUAGCAAACCACACACCUGGCCCUGCCCAGCUGCUCCCCUGUCCACAGGUAAUUGGAAAAUCAAGAAGGAAGUUCAUUUCUCUGUAGCAGCUACAAAGAAGAAUGUGGGGGAAAAACAGCAGAAAAGGUCAGGUAUGUCCUUUAUCCACUAAACUCAUCAAUCAGGAGGAAUUGUGCUCUGAGCCUCCCUCAGGAGGAGAGGAAGUCCUCUGCAGUGUCAAGGCCCACAGAGCCACUCCAAAGUGGUCCACAACAAGGGAAUGUCCCUGCUCCACCUCCUGCUCCCUGGACCCUUUGGCCGAGCUUUCUAAAAAGAGAGGGCUAGGAGGGGCUGUGCCUCAGAAGUUAAAGGAAAGGCACCUUAAUGAGGCAUGAUGGGGUGACAGUCAAGGGAAUGGGCUCUGGACUCAGGAAGAUGUCAGUUCAAUCCAGACUCCACCACUAAUUCGCUGUGUGAUCUUGGGCCACUCAGAACCUCUAAGAACCUGUUUCCUUAUCUGCAUUUCAGGACUGGUGACAGUGAAGAUUCCUUGAGGAUUAGUUCAAUCAGCACCUGGGCUCCCCAUGCAUAUAGCUGUAGUUGUGGCUUUUAACAUUGUUUUUUUAACAUUAUUAUUACUGUAUCAGCCUUUAUGAUGACCCUCAUUGAUCUUUUCAUCCUGGUUUUCACACGCUCCCAUACUGAAUGGGGUUGAUUUAUAUACUAAUAGGAAAUGGCAGAAAUGACAUGAGGUGACUUCCAAGGCUGGGUCAUGAAGACAGAAUUGUGACUUCCCCCUUCCUCUUGGAUGACUCACUCUGGGGGAAGCCUGGCAUCACAUCAGGAGGACACACAAGCUGGCCUAUGAUAAAGUCCACAUGGUGAGACCCUGAGGCCUCCUGCUCAAGCCAACAUUAGCUUGUCAGCUAUGGGAACACACCAUCUUGGAGAUGGAGCCUCAGUUCCAUCACCUACUAGAUGACAGCAGCCCAGCCGACCUCUUGUCUGCAAGCUCAUGAGAGCUGAGCAGAACCGCUAGCUCAGCAGCUCCUGAAUUCUCAACUCAGAAAUGCUGUGAGGUCAUGGAUGUUUACUUUCUUUCAAGCUACCAUGUCUUGUGCUGCUUUGCUAUGCAUGAGUAGAUAAUUAGUAUAAUCAUUAUUCUGGAACUUUGAAGUGGCCGCUCCUCAGCCAACACUCGUGCAGGCUUCUCCUGCCUUCACGUGGACUGCUUUGCAGAGCCCAAGGGAGGCUAAUUCUUUCUACUCCAAGAAACUCUGGAUGAGAAGAGUCUCUGCCCUGGUCCUUUUUUGGUAUCACCACUUCCAGGGAGCUCUCCUGAUACCUCUUGGCCAGGAUGGGGCCCUUCCUCCAAAUGCCUGCAAAAGUGCUCUGUGCCACCCUCUCCCACACUUCUCACCACCUUGCCUCUUGGUUCUGGAGCCAGUAACAUUCUCACCCAUGCUUUGGCUCACAGCAAGCUCAAACCCACAUUUUCAGUCUACUCUAGAUGACUUCCAAGUCUUUAUGGCAAAGAGAUUGAAAUCCUGUCCUUUAAUCUUAUUUUAAGAUUAUUCAGCAAUAUUCAUAUUGUAUUUUCUUACCCUUAAUUUAUUUCUGCCCUUAUUUCCUCAUCUGUUUUGUGUGUUUGUUAUGCAAAUUAUCACACAUCCUUUGUGAGAUGAAGCAGCAGUAAGCAAGUCACUGAAGGCCUGGGGGAAGAUACAAACAUCAUCUGCUGACAGUAGGCCAUAUACUCCAGAUAGCCUUGAUCUCCCCUGCUCCUGCUCCUCACUUCUCUAAUGGUGACACCACAUUCUCCUGUGGCUGGAGGUGCAUUGAAUAACUUUCUCAGCUUCUCAGCUGCACAUCAGAUUUGCAGUUACUGUUUGGUUUUCCAUGGCUGUUUUCCAAACUCUAGGGUGAGACAGACCAACAAGCUGUUCUGGAAGGAGACAGCGGAGUGAGCAAGGGGCUUGCUGUCCCCUGGGGUGGUGCUACAGGACCAGCCCAAAGUGUCCACUGCACUGAAGAAGCAGCCUCUCAACAGCCACCAGAGCAGGGUUGAAAACCCCUGAGGUACCAUCCCAUACCUACCAUUUUACAAAAGAAGAUGUGAUACAUCUCCCCAUACUACCUCCCUGUGGCUCUCCUGAUGCCCUGGAAACCAAAUGCUGCUGACCCUCUUCCCUGCUCUCUGGUGGCAGCAAGACCACAACAUUUCCACCCACAUGAGCAUCUUUCCUUCUCUCCCUUGGGACAUUGUGGCUUCCCACCACCACUUUCAGCCACCAAACCACAAGAAGAUAGUCACAACGUCCCCUCUGUUUGCUGACUUUCCUUAAGGUCACCCUUUGUGAUAUGUCACCAAGAGCGAACAAAUCUUCACUGUGUCCAUUCUAUCAAAACUUGUUUCUAUAUGCAUCUGUCAUCACUGAUUGCAUUUGAAUGGUCUUGGUCUCUAUUUUAAAUAAAAGAUUUAUGCCUUA
This is a non-coding RNA of Heterocephalus glaber (naked mole-rat), 11023 nucleotides long. NCBI's taxonomy places the organism in Eukaryota, Metazoa, Chordata, Mammalia, Rodentia, Bathyergidae. The record is from RefSeq and is a predicted model, not a curated record.